UCCGUAGGCGGGCAAUUAAGUCAGAGGUGAAAUCCUGCGGCUCAACCGUAGAACUGCCAUUGAUACUGAUAUUCUUGAAUGUAGUUGAGGUAGGCGGAAUGUGUAAUGUAGCGGUAAAAUGCUUAGAUAUUACACAGAACACCGAUUGCGAAGGCAGCUUACUAAACUAUGAUUAACGCUGAGGCACGAAAGCGUGGGGAGCGAACAGGAUUAGAUACCCUGGUAGUCC
This 229-nucleotide ribosomal RNA is filed under the name uncultured bacterium. RNAcentral's name for it is "partial 16S ribosomal RNA". It matches the Rfam family "Bacterial small subunit ribosomal RNA", at positions 568 to 796 of the family's 1533-position model. The record is from RNAcentral.